This is a long non-coding RNA of Marmota monax (woodchuck), 1425 nucleotides long. RefSeq lists it as uncharacterized. The transcript has 3 exons. NCBI's taxonomy places the organism in Eukaryota, Metazoa, Chordata, Mammalia, Rodentia, Sciuridae. The record is from RefSeq and is a predicted model, not a curated record.
CGGAAGGCGCGUAAAAAUCUCAUCAUCACUAAGCCCCAGGCGUGAUCGGAGCCGGGCCGAAAGGCGCGUAGAAAGGGCCUCAGCCAUGAACCUAGAAUGGGAAGAAAACAUGCGUCUUUUCCUCCACGUGUAGUCUACACCACUUUUGUUAAGAGAAAUAUGCCUCGCUGGUUCAGACAGCUCUGUGUGAGGGCCCAGCCUCAGGUCCCAUGCAGAUGGGCCUCGGCUCUGUGCCCUUGCAGUGAAGACCAAACAUUGAUUUAUGUGGUACUGAUCACUGCAGUCGGCAGCCAGAAGCAGCCAGGGGUUCUGCAAGGAGGUGAGAGGCAAGGUGUUCAGCAGCUUCCAUGCAUACACCACCAGCUCCUGCUGCUUCCUGCCAUCGCCCUUCCCCACUCUGCCGGAGGCUACACACAGUGGUGAUGCUGCUGCAUUAAUUUACAGCCUGCCAUGCUAAUUUCCUGACCUGGGAAGUGGGACAAUAGGUAUUGGUGUCACCUGCAGGACUGCCAGAGCAUCAACUCUGGUGCAGUGCAAACACCCUGGGGGUGGGGUGGGGGAUGACGUGGUACCAAGGUAAGGGCUGGUCACAACUCUGUGUGACAGGUGGCUGUUCUCAUACUAGGUUUGCCUGCCCUGCCCUGCUAGGCUGGAGACCCCUGAGGGCAGAGCUGCUGACUCUGUCCUCACUGUGUCCCCAAGUCCUGGUGGGGCACAGGACACUCCCUGAUCUGAAGCAACUAGACAAAAUAUUUAUAAGUAGCACAGAAGUGAUGACAGUCUUCAGUAAGGAAGGAAGGAAUGGAAUUAUAUGUGUUUUCAAUUCUCAUUAUGACUUGCUUUUCUGUAUUUGUUAUAUUUUUAUUUAUUCCUGAAUCUCUAUAGCAAAUUCUAGUAAGAAACCUAAUAUGGUGGGGCUGAGGUUGUAGCUCAGUGGUAGAGCACAUGGCUAGCAUGCAUGAGGCACUGGGUUUGAUUCUCAACACCACAUACAAAUAAAUAAAAUAAAGGUCCAUCAACAAUUAAAAAAUAUUUAAAAAAGAAACCUAAUAUGGUAUAAAGUUGUGCAAGUGACAAACACAGAUAAAGUUCACUAUACAUUUUAAUAUAUGAUAUAAAAUAUUACUUAAAGACAUGAACAAGAUACGGGUACAGCAGCACACACUUGUGUUCACAGUGACUCGGGAGACUGAGGCAGGAGGAUGGCAAGUUUGAAGCCAGCCUCAGAGGCUUAGUGAGACCCUGUCUCAAAAUAAAAAAUUUAAAAGGCUGGGGAUGUGGCUCAGUGGUAGCACACCCCUGGGUUCAAUCCCCAGUACAAAAAAAAAAAAGUAAAAAAAUCAAACAUUUUAUAUUAGAAAGCAAAAAUAAUUAUCAAACUCAAUCUUGUAAAUCCCUGUGAGGAAUAAAAGAAACUCGCCCACA